AUUGAACGCUGGCGGCAUGCCUUACACAUGCGAGUCGAACGGUAACGGGCCUUCGGGUGCCGACGAGUGGCGAACGGGUGAGUAAUACAUCGGAACGUGCCCGAUCGUGGGGGAUAACGAGGCGAAAGCUUUGCUAAUACCGCAUACGAUCUACGGAUGAAAGCAGGGGACCGCAAGGCCUUGCGCGGACGGGGCGGCCGAUGGCAGAUUAGGUAGUUGGUGGGAUAAAAGCUUACCAAGCCGACGAUCUGUAGCUGGUCUGAGAGGAUGGUCAGCCACACUGGGACUGAGACACGGCCCAGACUCCUACGGGAGGCAGCAGUGGGGAAUUUUGGACAAUGGGCGCAAGCCUGAUCCAGCCAUGCCGCGUGCAGGAUGAAGGCCUUCGGGUUGUAAACUGCUUUUGUACGGAACGAAAAGCCUUCUUUUAAUACAGGAGGGUCAUGACGGUACCGUAAGAAUAAGCACCGGCUAACUACGUG
Molecule: ribosomal RNA, 482 nt
Filed under: uncultured bacterium
Lineage: Bacteria
Description: partial 16S ribosomal RNA
Rfam family: Bacterial small subunit ribosomal RNA
Source: RNAcentral